Papaver somniferum (opium poppy) is the source of this 1701-nucleotide long non-coding RNA. RefSeq lists it as uncharacterized. NCBI's taxonomy places the organism in Eukaryota, Viridiplantae, Streptophyta, Magnoliopsida, Ranunculales, Papaveraceae. The record is from RefSeq and is a predicted model, not a curated record. The transcript is spliced from 8 exons.
AUUUAACUUCUUUAAAAUCUUAAGUUCCUUAGACUCCAUGUUGAACGGUGACGGUCACCAUCUCACAGAAUUGUUUGAUUUCACUUUUUCUCAAGGUUUUUUCUUCAUAAAAUAAAAGAAUUUUUUUUAUUUAUUAUCCCAAAAGAAAAAAGAAUAAAAAAAAACAAAAAACGAAAACAAAGAAAAAGAAAAACAUUAGGGUUUGCUAACCCACGUUGAACGGUGAUUUCCUAAUCCACCAGUUAUGCCAUAGACAAAAGAGUUGAUGUUCUUAUGGGUGAUAUUUCGAUCGGUGUUUGGUGAUUCAGGGUUUAAGAAGAAAUUGAUGAUGAAACUUAAGAGGGAAUCGGAGGUGAAAUUGAUAAGGGUUAUUGAGAACUGAGAUUGAUGAUUAAGUUAAGACAAUUGAAGAAUUUCAGAAACUAGGGUUUGGUUUUGGGAAGAGCAGCUAAGACUGAUUCUUAUUUGUUUCCUAUCCCUAAUCUUCAAACGACGUCAACAAAUUAACAUGGUGAUAGAAAUUUGUAAGCUCUAUAAUCAAAAGAGGGUUUUGUUUAUGUCCUUGGAAUUCGGUUAUGGGCUCAAUUAUAUGAUAGGAAUCUGGAGAAGGGAGUUCUGUACUCCAGAUUUAAGGUGAUAAUUGUCUGUGAUGCUCUUGCACAAUCUGGAGAAGGGAGCUCACAUGCAUCAUUGUGGUAACAUUCAGCGUGAUUCUGGAAGACCUUCCACUCCUAGAAAAGACCUACAGAUUUGGGCACCAUUAACUUAUCUGGGUUUUCUUUUAGUAUCUAUAUCUAUCAUUCUCGAAUCCUUGGAAGGUGAUGGUGGUACGCUACGAACUUGCCUUAAGGAUGGGGUAGAUAUGCCCAGUUCAGUUUAGCAGAGAUAAUGAUGUGAAUGCUGCUGUCGGGGAAGGAACGGUAACACAGUUCGAUACACUGCCUUAGUUCUUUUCUUUCCUUUUCUUUACUGGAUCAUCAAAGUCUAUACUUUGGUAUUUUCUGCAGCCAUAAUGGAUGGCUCCUGAAGUUAUAAUUGUUCGGGAUGCUUUGCGUUUGUUGUUUGCUUAGCAGACUGAUCUGCGCUACAAUUCUUGAAAAAAUGCUCCAUAUGGGUUCCAAAGCAGUCUCCAUGGGUUGGUACCUGACAAAGUGGCAAGUUGGUUCGUCAUGGAUUUUUCUUCCACAAUCCCAUUUGAGACUUUAAGAUUCAUGUUUACAGGAAGCAGCAAUAUGUAUAUCUCCUAUUACAUAUUGGGUUUGCUCAAAUUUUGAAGUCUAAGAAAUCUUAAACAACUUUUCACAAGGUUUGUGAACUGCUGCCUAAAGGUAAUUUGUUCCCACCGGCCAAUUAGGUCAGAGUCAACGUCCACAUCGAAUAUGGAGAAGGCACACCUUUGGCAGGUCAUAAGCCUUCCACCUGAGCAGAGGCAUCAAGCACUUCUGUAUUAGCAAACUGGUAUCUCGAUCUGUUGUCAAUCCAGAGGAACAAACGCAUACAAAGAUCAAGAAAGAAAUGAAGUCGUUGGUGGUAGUGCUGAGUUAUUGGAUUCUGAAGGCCAUGUCAGUGGGAUUACGAUGAUCACUUUUAGUUGGUAGAAGUAGUUGCAUGAUAUUUUAAAAUUUUAGUUCAUUGCACAUUGACUGAUUCCCUUUAGUUUGAGAUGUAAAUUCUAAUUCGGCAGGAAGUUAAAAUUACCAA